UGGGGAAUAUUGGACAAUGGGCGAAAGCCUGAUCCAGCCAUGCCGCGUGUGUGAAGAAGGUCUUCGGAUUGUAAAGCACUUUAAGUUGGGAGGAAGGGCAGUAAGCGAAUACCUUGCUGUUUUGACGUUACCGACAGAAUAAGCACCGGCUAACUCUGUGCCAGCAGCCGCGGUAAUACAGAGGGUGCAAGCGUUAAUCGGAAUUACUGGGCGUAAAGCGCGCGUAGGUGGUUCGUUAAGUUGAAUGUGAAAGCCCCGGGCUCAACCUGGGAACUGCAUCCAAAACUGGCGAGCUAGAGUAGGGCAGAGGGUGGUGGAAUUUCCUGUGUAGCGGUGAAAUGCGUAGAUAUAGGAAGGAACACCAGUGGAGAAGGCGACCACCUGGGCUCAUACUGACACUGAGGUGCGAAAGCGUGGGGAGCAAACAGG
Molecule: ribosomal RNA, 429 nt
Filed under: Pseudomonadota bacterium
Lineage: Bacteria; Pseudomonadati; Pseudomonadota
Description: Proteobacteria bacterium partial 16S ribosomal RNA
Rfam family: Bacterial small subunit ribosomal RNA
Source: RNAcentral